AGGGUUUGAUUAUGGCUCAGAACGUACGCUGGCGGCACGCCUUAUACAUGCAAGUCGAACGGAGUAGCAAUACUCAGUGGCAGACGGGUGAGUAACAUGUGGGAAUCUUCCCUUUGGUGAGGAAUAACACGAGGAAACUUGUGCUAAUACCUCAUAAGUCUUUACGGAGAAAGCUUUAUGCACCAAUGGAUGAGCCCGCAUUUGAUUAGUUUGUUGGUAGGGUAAUGGCCUACCAAGACUGUGAUCAAUAGCUGAUCUGAGAGGAUGAUCAGCCACAUUGGGACUGAGACACGGCCCAAACUCCUACGGGAGGCAGCAGUAGGGAAUAUUGCACAAUGGAGGAAACUCUGAUGCAGCGAUGCCGCGUGAGUGAAGAAGGCCUUUGGGUUGUAAAGCUCUUUCGUCGGGGAAGAAAAUGACUGUACCCGAAUAAGAAGGUCCGGCUAACUUCGUGCCAGCCGCCGCGGUAAUA
RNAcentral lists this ribosomal RNA (472 nucleotides) under uncultured bacterium. RNAcentral's name for it is "bacterial SSU rRNA". It matches the Rfam family "Bacterial small subunit ribosomal RNA", at positions 8 to 525 of the family's 1533-position model. The record is from RNAcentral.